GAUGAACGCUGGCGGCGUGCCUAAUACAUGCAAGUCGAGCGAACAGACGAGGAGCUUGCUCCCCUGACGUUAGCGGCGGACGGGUGAGUAACACGUGGAUAACCUACCUAUAAGACUGGGCUAACUUCGGGAAACCGGAGCUAAUACCGGAUAAUAUAUUGAACCGCAUGGUUCAAUAGUGAAAGACGGUUUUGCUGUCCCUUAUAGAUGGAUCCGCGCCGCAUUAGCUAGUUGGUAAGGUAACGGCUUACCAAGGCAACGAUGCGUAGCCGACCUGAGAGGGUGAUCGGCCACACUGGAACUGAGACACGGUCCAGACUCCUACGGGAGGCAGCAGUAGGGAAUCUUCCGCAAUGGGCGAAAGCCUGACGGAGCAACGCCGCGUGAGUGAUGAAGGUCUUCGGAUCGUAAACCUCUGUUAUUAGGGAAGAACAAAUGUGUAAGUAACUAUGCACGUCUUGACGGUACCUAAUCAGAAAGCCACGGCUAACUACGUG
Molecule: ribosomal RNA, 497 nt
Filed under: uncultured bacterium
Lineage: Bacteria
Description: partial 16S ribosomal RNA
Rfam family: Bacterial small subunit ribosomal RNA
Source: RNAcentral